UACGAAGGUCCCAAGCGUUGUUCGGAAUCACUGGGCGUAAAGGGAGCGUAGGCGGCGUGGUAAGUCAGAUGUGAAAUCCCGGGGCUCAACCCCGGAACUGCAUCCGAUACUGCCAUGCUAGAGGAUUGGAGAGGUAGCUGGAAUUCUUGGUGUAGCAGUGAAAUGCGUAGAGAUCAAGAGGAACACCGAUGGCGAAGGCAGCCUCCUGGGCCAGCACUGACGCUCAUGCACGAAAGCGUGGGGAGCAAACAGG
RNAcentral lists this ribosomal RNA (253 nucleotides) under uncultured bacterium. Its description in RNAcentral is "partial 16S ribosomal RNA". It matches the Rfam family "Bacterial small subunit ribosomal RNA", at positions 524 to 776 of the family's 1533-position model. The record is from RNAcentral.